RNAcentral lists this long non-coding RNA (1263 nucleotides) under Numida meleagris (helmeted guineafowl). Its description in RNAcentral is "lncRNA (ENSNMEG00000005113.1)". The record is from RNAcentral. Lineage: Eukaryota; Metazoa; Chordata; Aves; Galliformes; Numididae.
UUAAAUCAUGAUCAGUGAAGUACAAUGAUGAUAAUGUAUAUGGUUCAGCCUUACUACUAAUUUCAGAGCAAAAGGGUAGAAUUUUGUUUUUCAAAUGUAAUGACUGAAGUUGAGAAAAAAAGAUAUACAUAGGACAACCUUCUGCUCUUGCUUUAGCCUUAGCUUGAGGUGAGAGCUUUUGAUAAUUCUGUAAAGUUUGGUUAAAGCAGGGAAAAGAAAGGCAUGACAGUAAAUACUUUUUAUAAUAUGUUCCUUGCAAAGGUUCCUGGGAUCAUUAGCAUCACAUCCUUCAGUGGUGGAGGCUGCGUGUGGGACCCUUUUUUACUGAAGACAAGAGACAGCUUGGGAUUGCACAAAUAACAAGCACUGUUACAAGAGCAGCUGUUGUACAUUGUACACUCAGAGCAGCAUCACUGGUGCAGACCUUCUCAUUACCUUCAGCUGAUGUUUUUGCCAUCUCCAGGCCUAAGGUCCAUUUAUGAGGCUCCAGCAGAACCUGCAUACAGUAGAUGCAGAAAGGAGAGAAAUUCAGAUGCCUAGGUGCUACCAAAUACGAUCUAGGACACCUACAGAUCUGCAUAUCUGGCAUUAACCUCCCACUCCAGAGCUGCGGGUGAGCAAUCAGUAAAUUCCAUCUGGUGCAAAGUCCAGGGAUCCGUGGUUAUCACACAAGAGAGGAGGAAAGCUGUCUCACUUAGAUAGGAAUCUGAUAAAAAUAACCUCCCAGGAGUCCCAAAGGGAACAUUCAUACAGGAUUGAUCUUGUCAUUUCAGUCUUCUUGCUCUUUAUUGAAGGAAAGAAUAAAAAGCCCCUUGCCUCCACACUCUUGAAAGAGAACAUCUUUCUGAAAAGGUGUUCAAAUAAGCUUCAGUCAACAACUAUGAUUUUGAACCCAUCCGGAACAACUGCCCUUAGCAAGAAGAAAGUCUUCCAAAGCAAAGUCGUCCUGUUUCAAGUGGAACUUUCCUAUGCCAGGCAAUGAGUUCUAGCUACACAGAAUGAAACCUAAGUCACUUUGAAACUGAAGUGCAUGCUGCCAUUGGUUUGAUGACCCAGGGUUAUAUUCCGGAAGAAGACUACAUAGGUAUGUAAGAAGAUAGUCUUUCUCUUGCAUCAGCUGAUGUUCUGCUGCCCACAAGAUCACUAUUGAGCUUAGUUUUGUAAAAGCAGAGAAAUAUUGUUAUUGUGAACAAAACUGAAUGCUUGCCUGGCCCAUCUUCUUUAAAGAUACAGACUUCAAAUGCUUCAGAUAAUACAAUGCGU